AAGAUUUUGGGAGUGACUGAAAAAACUAAUAGGAUUAUUAGAGUUAACAUCAUGCAGAACAACAGAACUUGAACAACUGAGGCAGAGGAAUUUUUAAGUCCGUUGUUAAAACUAGGUUUUUGUUGUUGUUUUGUUUAACACGUGUCCCAAGGAUUGUUUCUCUUAACUCUUUGUCACAGCUGCAAUUAAGGGCUAAGAAAGCUCCCACCUAGAAUCCUCCACCAAAAUCUGGGAAGACAGGACAUUUCUGUGGUUAAAAUAAGCAAGAAAAAAAUAUUUCAGACCGCCAUUCUAUUUUAUAAAGAAACUACCCUUUUCUAUUUAACUAAAAUUUCUUUCAAAGGGGAACGUAGAAGCAUCAGAAUUGCCAUACCAGAUCAGACCAGUGGCCUACUCAGUCCUGUGUCUGAUCUCUGAUAGCAGUUAUUACUGGGUGGUUAGAAGAAAGUUUAAGAACCCCUAUAGUGAGCAGUUAUGGAAUAACUUGCACACAAGGGGAAACUUCUUUCUACCUCCAGUAAGAGGUUGGUGUAUGUCCUGAAGCGUGAGGGUUUAUAUCCCCUGCAAAAGCGAUGCAUUUUUAAAAAUGUUUACAGUUGUGUAAUUCUGGUUGUUCUCCUCCUCCACCCAAAUGUCCAAUCCUUUAAAAAAAAAUCUGCUAUGGUCUUUGUCCCAACAAUAUUUAUGGCAAAAAGUUUCACAGGUCAAUUGUGUGUUAUAGGAAAGUAUUUCCCUUUAUUUAUUUUAAAUUUACAGUGUCUCAAUUUAAUUGAAUGUCUCCUCCUUUUUGUGUAAGAAGAAGGAGUGAAUUGAAACGCUUUUCAGUUUUAUGCUCUUUCAUGUUGUCUUCAAAUACUUUUGUAGCACUAUCAUGUAAAUCAGCACUCGUAUUUGAACUUGGUACCAAACUUUGGUUUUAAGAGACAGUGUACCUCAUAUAUCCCCAAAUACAUAAGCAUUUAAGACUCCAGAAAGAGGUGAUGAAAAAUACUCAUAUUAUGUUAAUUGGUCACUUGUAGAGAAUAAUUGACACUACACAAUAGACUAGAGCAUUUAAGGUGAAGGAUUCAGGAUUACAAACUCAUAAUUAGUUUAGCCACUAGCGCUCUUUGCUAAAUCUCUAAAUACCAAUUAUACAGGAUUAUAUUUAAUCCAGAAUAUUGGAAGAAAUAAGUAGUGAUCACUCCAGAUUUUUAAAUCCCUAACUUGUAAGAAAAAAACAUACCAGAGGACACAAAGUAUGUUUUAGCAUACUUCUUAAUUUUAAAUGGCAUUUAGAUUUUGGGCUGAGGUGGUAGUGAGGAAAGCAGGCUAAGACCUAUAAAAGUGAAGAAAUGUGAGAGCAAUAUUAGGAGUCCUUAUGGACAGCAUAUACAAAGGGUUUCAUUAAGGCAACACGUGAAUACAUGAGGUGUAUUGAGGAUAGGAUUCCUCAGGCUGUUACUCUGCCCUGAACUCUUUGAUAUAUGUAAUAAUGGUGUGCCUCAAAUGCACUUUUUUUGUUAAAUGAAGGAUUUUCUUAAUUGUAUUUAGACUGUAAAGGUACUUCAGAGCAACAAAGUUUUGUAAGAGGCAGCUGAUGCCUAGACAUCCAUCACCUCCAAACUAUGACCCGGCACCAAGAAGAUAAUGCAGUGAUUAAUACUACCUCACCUAGGAGAGCAGUGUGAUCCUGGACCAACAAGUACAUGAAUGUGUUGUCCUCACGUCCUGCUGCUGCAUGUAACUGUGCUGAAGAGUGGACAGUUGCCAUGGAUGACACAGGGAAGCUUCUGAAUCAAACAGAAGAGGUGAUGAUUCACAAGACAAGAUCUGGCCCAAACUACAGAAACAUUUGAGAACACUUGGGAGUUACCACAUAGUUUCUGUGUUGCUAAAUUUCAGUGAAUCUUGUUUAUACGUACAGAUAAUGUAUUAGUAUUGUAGAAAUGCUAUAUUGACUAUUCACAGCCUACUGUAGGGCAACAGCUUCUUCAUCAACACUCUGUUCACACAUAAGAAUUAGCAAACAAAGAAUUAUUUUUAGCUAUGCCUAAAUGUCCCUGAUAGCAUCGCUGGAAAGUUCUUUAGUACUGGCCCAUCCACAGUAAGACUAGUGUCUGACUGUCUCAGAUAUUUGAAUAUGCUAAUGAGUAUUUCAACUGCAUAAUGUAUAUAAAAGAUACUGACUGUGCCUUUUUUGGGAGGGGUGGAAAGAGUUGAGGUUUUUGGGGGGCAUGAAGUAAAGAAUAGGAUUGAAUCUAAAAAUAUCCAAAAUCAUGGUGGGAGAGGGGGUAUAAUUCAAAUGCAUCUUAUUUAAGGUUAUCUGACCUCUCUGGUUCUGACAACACUGAUGGGUUUUUAAAAAUAAAUGUAUUCCUACUGCAGCCCUCAGCUUUAAUUCCUCAUGUGCGUCUCAGCCCAUCAAGUUCUGGCCUGAAGUUAUCCCUUGUUAUGGAUCUACUGCAACAACCAACUGGAAAGUUUCAGCUCUUUCUCCGCCUGCAGUGCCAUUGGUAUCAAGACUUCCUUUCCAUUGCUACAACUCUUUUUAGCACAGGCCUGCACAAUAUCAGCUUGGUAUCCAAGAAAUUCUUCAGAUUAUGCCUUCCAGAAACAAUCUAAAACCGUACUUUAAUGUUGCUGACUGUCCAGUAUAUGUCCUAUCACUUUCCUUGAACAACACCUGUUAAUUACCAAUGCUGUAAGUUGCUCUACAGGAUCAAGAGAACAAAUGGAUACACACAUUUCUGAGCCACCUAGCAUUAAGGCCAUGUCAUAACAUGAGAGAAUAUUACCCGCACCUAGGACCCUAGAUAUCACAAGGUAACUUUAGCUCCUACUGCAGUGCCAUAGGUUACUGUGAGUUAUCCAAAUAUUAGUGUUUAAAUAGGAGCAAAAAUGAAAUAAGAGUUGGUUAUUUUAUUAUCAGUUGUAUUU
This is a long non-coding RNA of Chelonia mydas (Green sea turtle), 2919 nucleotides long. RefSeq lists it as uncharacterized. The transcript is spliced from 3 exons. The record is from RefSeq and is a predicted model, not a curated record. Lineage: Eukaryota; Metazoa; Chordata; Testudines; Cheloniidae.